Mangifera indica (mango) is the source of this 1679-nucleotide RNA transcript. RefSeq lists it as uncharacterized. Lineage: Eukaryota; Viridiplantae; Streptophyta; Magnoliopsida; Sapindales; Anacardiaceae. The record is from RefSeq and is a predicted model, not a curated record. The transcript is spliced from 10 exons.
AAUGUCUUUUGGCCCCAAAACUUUUUUUUUUUUUCGGUUAAAGGAUGGCGCCACGACUAAAAUUCGUUAUUUUCGGUGUCCACUUAUUUCUACAGUUACAAGAUUAGAGCAACCUCUCUUCACGAUCAAACAAAGCAUUCCAAAAAUCAACCGAUAUAUUAAAAAAGGAAACCAAAAUCAAAUAAUUGCUUUUCUCCAGCAAAAAAUGCCCACUCAAGCGCUUACUCUUAACCAGUUUCCCAAUUCUUUCCCGCAUUGUCGACGACAAAACCCCCUUCUUGCCACGUCUUCCAUUUCUUUAAACGUUUCUCGAUCGAAUGAAACUAUGAACAUGCGUUUGUCACGUGAGCGGAAGAGGAGUUCUAUGAUGUCCUUUUCAGCUGAGGAGAGCUCCAGUUUCAGUGUCGAACAAAAGAGAAAUGUGGUGGAACAUAUAUGUCUACUCAAAGCAAAGAAAGAUUUAUCUGAUGAAGAAGAGAACGAUAUGCUUGAUUAUCUUUAUACAUCUCAAUAUCAAAUGGCUGGUAUUGUUGCAGUCUCUCUGGGUCGCAUCUCUAAUAAAAAUGCUGAAAAUUAUACUCAUGCUGUCUUCAUGCGCUUUCAGAGAAAGGAAGGCCUAAUGAAGUUCUAUGACAAUUCUUUUUACUUGAGAGUUCUCAAGGAGCAUGUAAACCCUUACUGCCAUGGAAUGAUUAACGUGGAUUUUGAAUCGGAAGUUGAAGAUGAUAUCCUUCCUAUAUUUCGUAAAGGAGAGGAUUUCAACUUUGGUGUAGAGUUUGUGCUUCUACUAGCAUUUGCUGAGAGUGCAUUUGGUGGUCCUGUAGAAGAGGCAUUGACAUCACUUGAAAAAUUGACUGCUGAUUUGCCAUCUCUAAUUGUCCAAACUACUCAGGGUUCAAAUAUUAAUCCUAGCAGAGAGGAAUACACACAUGGAGUAGUAAUACGGUUUCGAUCACUUGAAGCUUUUGAGAUAUUUUCGAGCAGCUCAGAAUACAAAGAAAUAUGGAGCACCAAAUUUGAACCGAUUGUCAGGAAAAAGCUUCCCAUUCAUUUCUCUGUUGAUCCAGUGGGUAAAGAGAUUAUGUAGCAAGGAUCCAUUGUUUUUGCAGUUUAUUUUCCUGCUCAAAUAAGCUGAGGAAUUACGGAAAGAUACAUGCAUCUUGUAUGAUUCAACAAAUGCUUGCAGCAGUAGAAAACAGUUCCGAUUCAGUGGCCUUCAGCUUUAUGGGAUCAAGUGCAUAGAGUAAAAGGUCAAGAAUUGGGUUUGGUCCUCCUCGAAGAAACUCCAUAAAUUAGAUUGGCAGCAUUUAUGGAGGUUUACCAUGGAAAUUGGGAACUGGAAUUUGUUUUCACAGCCGGUCUCGGAUUAUUCACUUUUCAAAUACUGUGGAUAUAGCGGGAACUCAAGAGCUGGUUCCAAUGAGUAUAUGAUGAUCAACAUGAAAAAUAGCAGACCAAAAGUUCUUGGAGUAGCCAUACUUAAAUGUUUAACAUGUAUGAAAUAUUGGCUCAUAUCCUGUGAUUUACAAUGUACAAAUAAUUUUAUCAAAAGCAUGUGGUCAUUGAAGACAGAAAUGUCCUUGACGGCAGCUGAUGAAAAGUAUAACUGUACCAGAAUCACUGACCAUUUGUACUGUCUGUGUGGCCCUGUAAGUACAAAGUAAUAUUGGUUUCCUUAA